AAACGGGUGGGCCCUCGAAUUCCGAGUGGCGGGAAAGGAUUCAGUUGAAUGAUGUCGAACUCUGUUGGAUGUCAAUCGAGAUGGAUUUWUCCGUUUYGUGUCGAUGUUCCGGAAAGUAGGCGUUGGACGACGCAUUUCUUUAUACCGCCCAGUGGACGCCGCUACCGGUUGGAGCAGAGCUUGAAAGGUGGUAUAGUGGGCGGCUGAUGUCCGUAAGGAUUGACGUUUAGCCUCUUUCCGUUCCGUAUGGCUUCUGAU
This 258-nucleotide ribosomal RNA is filed under the name Mysmena sp. MYSM-034-MAD. RNAcentral describes it as "partial 28S ribosomal RNA". The record is from RNAcentral. Lineage: Eukaryota; Metazoa; Arthropoda; Arachnida; Araneae; Mysmenidae.